Grammomys surdaster is the source of this 72-nucleotide non-coding RNA. NCBI's taxonomy places the organism in Eukaryota, Metazoa, Chordata, Mammalia, Rodentia, Muridae. The record is from the annotation of a RefSeq genome assembly.
GUGGGUGUGGCUCAGUGGUAGAGCACCUGCCUAGUAUGCAUGAGGUCCUGUGUUCAAUUCUCAGCACUUCUA